GAGCUUGCAAGCAGUUUGCCGCCCUAAGGGAACUCUCUGAAUAACCUACACAUGUGCAGUGAGAAUUGCUAUUCUCUACCUGGGGCACAAGAAGCAUAUGGCUUAGUAGGAAUGGGCUCAGACUUGGUGCUUGGAACUGAAGAUGCCUUCUAGAGUG
Long non-coding RNA from Jaculus jaculus (lesser Egyptian jerboa), 157 nucleotides. RefSeq lists it as uncharacterized. The transcript is spliced from 2 exons. Lineage: Eukaryota; Metazoa; Chordata; Mammalia; Rodentia; Dipodidae. The record is from RefSeq and is a predicted model, not a curated record.